RNAcentral lists this ribosomal RNA (222 nucleotides) under uncultured Staphylococcus sp. Its description in RNAcentral is "partial 16S ribosomal RNA". It matches the Rfam family "Bacterial small subunit ribosomal RNA", at positions 118 to 334 of the family's 1533-position model. The record is from RNAcentral. Lineage: Bacteria; Bacillati; Bacillota; Bacilli; Caryophanales; Staphylococcaceae.
UGGAUAACCUACCUAUAAGACUGGGAUAACUUCGGGAAACCGGAGCUAAUACCGGAUAAUAUUUUGAACCGCAUGGUUCAAAAGUGAAAGACGGUCUUGCUGUCACUUAUAGAUGGAUUCGCGCUGCAUUAGCUAGUUGGUAAGGUAACGGCUUACCAAGGCAACGAUGCAUAGCCGACCUGAGAGGGUGAUCGGCCACACUGGAACUGAGACACGGUCCAG